GGGGGGGGGGGGGGGGGGGCGGGGGGCGGGCAGGGCGGACGGGAAGGCCCUGCUUGUGUGGGGGGCUCGGGUGGCGAACGGGUGGGUAACACGUGAGUAACCUGCCCUUGACUUUGGGAUAACUUCAGGAAACUGGGGCUAAUACCGGAUAGGAGCUCCUGCUGCAUGGUGGGGGUUGGACAGUUUCGGCGGUUGGGGAUGGACUCGCGGCUUAUCAGCUUGUUGGUGGGGUAGUGGCUUACCAAGGCUUUGACGGGUAGCCGGCCUGAGAGGGUGACCGGCCACAUUGGGACUGAGAUACGGCCCAGACUCCUACGGGAGGCAGCAGUGGGGAAUAUUGCACAAUGGGCGGAAGCCUGAUGCAGCAACGCCGCGUGCGGGAUGACGGCCUUCGGGUUGUAAACCGCUUUCGCCUGUGACGAAGCGUGAGUGACGGUAAUGGGUAAAGAAGCACCGGCUAACUACGUG
This 468-nucleotide ribosomal RNA is filed under the name uncultured bacterium. RNAcentral's name for it is "partial 16S ribosomal RNA". It matches the Rfam family "Bacterial small subunit ribosomal RNA", at positions 38 to 507 of the family's 1533-position model. The record is from RNAcentral.